AAGCACAAUCUUAACGAUGGAUGUCUUGGCUCUUGUAGCGAUGAAGGCCGCAGCAAAACGCGAUAAGCAAUGAAAAUUGCAAUUACUGUAAAUCAUCAGAAUGCUGAAUGUAAAUUACACC
RNAcentral lists this ribosomal RNA (121 nucleotides) under Plasmodium gaboni. Its description in RNAcentral is "5.8S ribosomal RNA". It matches the Rfam family "5.8S ribosomal RNA", at positions 1 to 117 of the family's 154-position model. Rfam says of the family: 5.8S ribosomal RNA (5.8S rRNA) is a component of the large subunit of the eukaryotic ribosome. It is transcribed by RNA polymerase I as part of the 45S precursor that also contains 18S and 28S rRNA. Functionally, it is thought that 5.8S rRNA may be involved in ribosome translocation. Lineage: Eukaryota; Apicomplexa; Aconoidasida; Haemosporida; Plasmodiidae. RNAcentral also lists the same sequence under 2 other names. The record is from RNAcentral.